GUCCCCAUCGUCUAGCCUGGUCAGGACACAGGAUUUUCAUUCCUGUAACAGGGGUUCGAAUCCCCUUGGGGACGCCA
RNAcentral lists this transfer RNA (77 nucleotides) under bacterium. RNAcentral describes it as "tRNA-Glu". It matches the Rfam family "tRNA". From Rfam's summary of the family: Transfer RNA (tRNA) molecules are approximately 80 nucleotides in length. Their secondary structure includes four short double-helical elements and three loops (D, anti-codon, and T loops). Further hydrogen bonds mediate the characteristic L-shaped molecular structure. tRNAs have two regions of fundamental functional importance: the anti-codon, which is responsible for specific mRNA codon recognition, and the 3' end, to which the tRNAs corresponding amino acid is attached (by aminoacyl-tRNA synthetases). tRNAs cope with the degeneracy of the genetic code in two manners: having more than one tRNA (with a specific anti-codon) for a particular amino acid; and 'wobble' base-pairing, i.e. permitting non-standard base-pairing at the 3rd anti-codon position. RNAcentral also lists the same sequence under 1 other name. The record is from RNAcentral.